UGGGGAAUAUUGCACAAUGGGGGGAACCCUGAUGCAGCGACGCCGCGUGGGUGAAGGAGUAUUUCGGUAUGUAAAGCCCUAUCAGCAGGGAAGAACAAUGACGGUACCUGACUAAGAAGCACCGGCUAAAUACGUGCCAGCAGCCGCGGUAAUACGUAUGGUGCAAGCGUUAUCCGGAUUUACUGGGUGUAAAGGGAGCGCAGGCGGCGCGUUAAGCCUGGUGUGAAAGCCCGCGGCCCAACCGCGGGACUGCAUUGGGAACUGGCGCGCUGGAGUGCCGGAGGGGUAGGCGGAAUUCCUAGUGUAGCGGUGAAAUGCGUAGAUAUUAGGAGGAACACCAGUGGCGAAGGCGGCCUACUGGACGGUGACUGACGCUGAGGCUCGAAAGCGUGGGGAGCAAACAGG
Molecule: ribosomal RNA, 405 nt
Filed under: uncultured bacterium
Lineage: Bacteria
Description: bacterial SSU rRNA
Rfam family: Bacterial small subunit ribosomal RNA
Source: RNAcentral